UCGUAGAUUUUAGGACUUUGACAACGACUAAUUUACACAUUCAUUCCCUUGGGCUAGAAGUGUGAAAUAGAACCGCAGCAAACAGAACUCUUAACUCCGCCUAUCAAAUGUGAAUAAAGCGCGUGCACGCGAGGGGAGUAUGAUUUGUCCGGGGAGUCGGAUUUCGGUACAACACCUACCGUAGGACAGCCCCUGCUGAUACCAUCAGUAGCUGCAUUUCCAUUACCCUUCAAAUUGCGCAAAUUGAAAUGGAGCAUUGAAAAUACGCCCAAGAAUGAAAACAUGUAAAUUUCUUAAAAACUCCAAUGCAUCGGAAAGUGUUUUUUAUCGCUCGCAAGUGUUUUCAGGCAAUACGACAAAGGCAUAUUUCGCAAAACUGCAUUGGAAAAGUUUUUGUAUUUACAAAUCACCGUGCGUACAAAAGUCACAUGACCAUUGUUUGGCAGAACAUUUGGAGAGGUUGCUACUUGCUGCUCUCUACUAUAGUCAUGUAUAUGGAUGCUACUAGUUGGGUGAAUAAAGUCAGAGGGCCAAAAUGCAAAAUGAUGAACAUUUUCUGCUUUCAUGUAAAACGUCACCAUCAUGCAACUACGUAGAGAUACUGAGGCUGCUUAUCGAGGAGGUGGUCUUCAGUCCUGGCCCAGACUAACAGCUGAUCAUUGAACAGAAGGUUCCAGAGCACUGCUGCUUUUGACAGGACCGACCUACAGGCAGCAAUAGUAUUAGAUUUUAUUUAGUGAUAUAACUUUUAAGAUUGAUUGAUAUUGUUUGUAUCUAUCGGUCUCAUUAAAGUGACACACGCCCACUGUAAAGGGGGUUUAAAUUCAGCAAACAGGUCAUCAAGCACGAUUCACUGUGAAUAGAUCGCCAGUUAUUUGAGACGAUAUUAUAAAAAUAAGAAUACUGUAACAGUGAAAAGGUUUUCCUGGAAUAAAAAAACACCCGAUGGAGUGCAGGAUGGGCUACAUCAUCAUCUUACUUUACUCAUACAUAAGUUAUGGGGUAAUUUUUUUCCCUAGUGAAUAUGCCUUAACACCAUUUUUU
This is a long non-coding RNA of Triplophysa dalaica, 1044 nucleotides long. RefSeq lists it as uncharacterized. The transcript is spliced from 3 exons. The record is from RefSeq and is a predicted model, not a curated record. NCBI's taxonomy places the organism in Eukaryota, Metazoa, Chordata, Actinopteri, Cypriniformes, Nemacheilidae.